Molecule: microRNA precursor, 59 nt
Filed under: Cebus imitator (Panamanian white-faced capuchin)
Lineage: Eukaryota; Metazoa; Chordata; Mammalia; Primates; Cebidae
Description: miRNA (ENSCCAG00000019554.1)
Source: RNAcentral
GUUGGUGCAAAAGUAAUUGCGGUUUUUGACAAUUAAUGGCAAAAACCGCAAUUACUUUU